CCAGCCCUUCCCACUCCAGCCUUUUCUCCUGAGCUUCUGCCUUGCCGUCCUUCGCGGGGGGGGGGGGGGUCUGGAAGAUGCCGCCUUUGUUUGUUCUGAACUAAGGAUUCCUUAUGGGUUUUUUGGGGGGAUGGGGGGCACUGGGUUAGACUUUCUAUCUCUUGAGGUGUUCUAGAUUUCAGGCAAACUCAGAAAGGGUCUCAGCGUUUCCUGACCUGGGGGAGACAGAAAGAGCGGCAGUGAAAUUGCUUCGAGUCAGAAGCAAAAAGGGCGUUGGGAAUCCUGGGGCCUCGGAGCUGGGUUGGGGGGGGGGUCUGUCUGCCUGUAUGGAAGCCUCUUCAGGCUCUGGGUCCACCGUAAGCCUUGCCUUCCACCUCGGGGCUACCUUGGGGGGCUGGAGAAGGGACUUGUAAGGGGAAAGGAAGGGAGCUGUCUGCCUAAGAGCCCACUCCACUAGCAACAGCUUGUUCCGACUCUUCCUUGAAGCUUUCAAGAAUCAAGAAGCUACCCUUCUCCCUCUGAGGUCUCUUGAGAAGGUUCUAACCCACAGGUGGGACCCCCAAGCCCUGAUCUGCCCGUGGGCUCCCUGUGGGGCAUGCCAGGUAUAGUGGAGGGGGUUGGGAUGAUAAGACUUGGUCCCUGUUAGCUGGGCUGUCUAGCUAACAGGUGGUAUGCUCAGCGAACCCGCAGGCACCCUCCCACCACCACUCUUCCAACCUAUCUUCUCCCGUGAGAUGGGGCUUCCCCAGUCCCAGCCGUCCAGGGCUCUCUGCGGGCUGCUGUACGACCUUGCAAGGACGCUGGGCUGAGAGUCCGCCUUCCGCGGCGUGGAAGGAGAUGGAUGAGCAUGCUAAUUGCAACUCAAUUUCUGAUAGCUGUGAGCAGCUCUUGGCGUGGGUUAAGCUACCUGGGUCUUUUCCUUGGCAGGAGAAGAGCGUCCAGUAGGAGCUCCGCUUUCGUAGGCAUUUCUCAAUUUCCUCCAAGUUACUCUUACGACUGAAGCAAGUCAGCUCUGGCCUGGGAAACAGUGGGGCUGGGAGUGUGCUGGGAGCACGUCUGAAACCCCACUGAAUUCUGAGUCUGUGCCGUGCAGGGAGUAAGUGCCAAGGCACUGAGGUCGGGCUGCCUGAGCUGGAAUCUCAGCCCUGCUGUGUCCUGUGGACCUUGGGCAGGUUACUUAACCUCUCUGUGCUUCUGUUUUCCCAUUAUUAAACUGGGGGCAUAGUACUAGUCAUGGGGUUAUGCCUACCAAAUGGAUACACUGAUCGAAUGAUCAAAUCUUUCUACUAGAACAAGGUAGGGGUCAGAAAAAGCUGACACAAAGCUAAUUUGGGGAAAACGCUUUCUGAAGGAUUGAGGCUCCAGGGGAAAGGCCGCUGCUUCACUCCCUUCCGGGCCCGUGCAAGCGGAGAGCUCCCAGUCAUGCAGCAUCGGCAGGUUGGCCUGGGACCGUUUCCUCUGCAUCUUCCCUGAACUCUGCUCCUGGUGUGACGGGAAGGGAGGAAGGAGGGCCCCCCAUGGCUCAGUCCUCAGGAGCACUUUCUCCCCGAGAAUCCCUGUGGAUCACGUGGAGAUCAAGGCAGCUUGGGCAAAGUGGGGCCUCACUUCUCAGACCAGCCCCUUUCCUUUGGCCCUCCCCGAGAGAGACCGGCAUUCCUGCCCCGUGGGGCCGCCAUCUUGCACAGCUUUUUCUCAAGCCCCGCGUGCAGCGAAUAGCUAAGUCUGGGCACCUGGCCAUACAGCCGUACCUCUCGCCCUGUAGGUUCUCCUGCCUGACUUACAUCAAGUGUGAGGCUUACCCGAUGCUUAAGAUCCCAGCUGCUGUUCGGGAGCAUUACAUUGGCGCUACAGCGAAAGCUUCACAAGUGAAGUAAGGAAGUUUGAUGACUGACUUAAAAAAAAAAAAAAAAAAAAAAACCUUUAGGUAGAGUGAGUUCAUCUUCAGCAUCAUCGGACCCCUUUUCUCCUGUCCUCCUGCCUUUCUCCCUUUCUCUACCUGUCCUCCAUAGCUAAGCCUUCUAUAAUAUUGACAUUCUUUGAAUCGGAUCCUUGCAAGGACGCGCAGUGGUGACUUGUGUUGUAGAUAAUGGGCGUGGUGUAACAUCACAGCCUCCACUUGGGUCUCAUCCAGAAUUUGCCCACCCUGCUGGGUUUAUAGGACUUAACUACUCUGGGUGUUCAUCCAGCUGCUCGUUUCUACCUGCUAGGCGGGUAUGCCUAGUGAGCACCUAUCACGUCUUCCUUGUCUAUCUCCCAGCAACGAACACACACUUUCCUCCAACUGUGCCCCUUAAAGGGGGCUUAUGGCUGCCUUUGCUGCAGUGCCAGAAUGUGAGAUGUAAGAAGGGGGGUGGUCAGGGGAAAAGCCCUUAGCACGAGCUUUGAAGGGUAUGUGGGGCUGAGCUGGGCCCACAAGGCCUGGCUGGGUUGGGGUUUAGGAGAAGGAAGGCGUGCCUCUCCCACCAGGGCUGCAGCAGAGGCUGGACGGCUGGGAGGCGCUCAUGUGUGGUGGGCCUCUGGGCUUCUGCUGAGGUUCUCAACCUCAUCAAAUGUGAGUGAGUCUCCUAAAGGAAGUCCUAGCCCUUAUUUUACCAGAGACAAAGCUGAGGCAAAGGUCCGGUAAAUAAUGUAGCUGGUCUCGAGUGGGUGGUACCAUUCCAGAUCCUGGCAAGAAGCAGCAGUUACCUACAGAGGAUUUAAUUGAAGACAGCAGACCACAGGAUUUCAUCGUGCAGAGGUUACAUCAUGUUCACCACCCAAAGACUAAUUACAAUCCAUCACCACAUGUGAGGUAAAGAUUUCUUAGGUAAGUGAUCAGACACGUAAUUCAUAAAACAAGAUUGCACGUCAUCA
Molecule: long non-coding RNA, 2853 nt
Filed under: Equus caballus (horse)
Lineage: Eukaryota; Metazoa; Chordata; Mammalia; Perissodactyla; Equidae
Description: lncRNA (ENSECAG00000055091.1)
Source: RNAcentral